Molecule: small RNA, 232 nt
Filed under: Cryptococcus neoformans H99
Lineage: Eukaryota; Fungi; Basidiomycota; Tremellomycetes; Tremellales; Cryptococcaceae
Description: Cryptococcus neoformans var. grubii H99 hypothetical RNA
Source: RNAcentral
AUCCGCCACCAACCAUCAAAACUAGCCAAGAGCAAUAUGAGUCAGCUUUAGAAUCACAUACAUCAUGCUUGGACCGCCAAUCUCACGUUUCGUGAAGCUUCUUUAAUUAUUUCCGGGGCCUGUAUACGAAUCUGCCGGUCGUUAUUAGACUGGCUAUUCUUCUUCGGUUGUGGUAAAAGACGAAUAACUUACCUGGGGACCACGUUUUUCGCUACUUGCCAGGCUGGAAUAU